RNAcentral lists this ribosomal RNA (336 nucleotides) under uncultured bacterium. Its description in RNAcentral is "bacterial SSU rRNA". It matches the Rfam family "Bacterial small subunit ribosomal RNA", at positions 29 to 355 of the family's 1533-position model. The record is from RNAcentral.
AACGAACGCUGGCGGCGCGCUUAACACAUGCAAGUCGAACGAGAAGCUGUAGCAAUACAGUUGUACAGUGGCGAACGGGUGAGGAAUACAUGGGUAACCUACCCUCGAGUGGGGAAGUAACCAGCCGAAAGGCUGGCUAAUACCGCGUACGCUUCCCGGUCUGCGGGUUGGGAAGGAAAGCUCUACCGUGGGUAGAGCGCUCAAGGACGGGCUCAUGUCCUAUCAGCUUGUUGGUAGGGAACGGCCUACCAAGGCAACGACGGGUAGCUGGUCUGAGAGGACGAUCGGCCACACUGGCACUGCGACACGGCCCAGACUCCUACGGGAGGCAGCAGU